RNAcentral lists this ribosomal RNA (156 nucleotides) under uncultured bacterium. RNAcentral describes it as "partial 16S ribosomal RNA". It matches the Rfam family "Bacterial small subunit ribosomal RNA", at positions 355 to 509 of the family's 1533-position model. The record is from RNAcentral.
UGAGGAAUAUUGGUCAAUGGCCGGAAGGCUGAACCAGCCAAGCCGCGUGAAGGACGAAGGUGCCAAGCAUUGUAAACUUCUUUUGUCAAGGGACAAAAUCAGGCUCGAGAGCCUGACCGAGGUACUUGAAGAAAAAGCAUCGGCUAACUCCGUGCC